CUCAGGUUUUGCGUGGGAGGCGGUCCCGCGAUUUCAAGGGUCUACACGCUCUUCUAUGGCGAAUGCAACCUGAUGAGGGAGUGGGCUGUAUCUUCAGAGUUGUCUCCGUCUUUCCAAGAACAGAACAAAAUGAACAAGAACAGAAGUUCCAGGGGUCAGUAUCAUUUAAAGAUGUGACUGUGGGCUUCACCCAGGAGGAGUGGCAGCACCUAGACCCUAGUCAGAGGGCUCUGUAUAGAGAUGUGAUGCUGGAGAACUACAGCAACCUUGUCUCAGUGGGGUAUUGUGUUCACAAACCAGAGGUGAUCUUCAGGCUGGAACAAGGAGAAGAGCCAUGGAAACUGGAGGAAGAAUUCCCAAGCCAGAGCUUUCCAGAAGUCUGGACAGCUGAUCACCUGAAAGAGAGGAGCCAAGAAAACCAAUCUAAACAUUUGUGGGAAGUUGUAUUCAUCAAUAAUGAAAUGCUGACUAAGGAACAAGGUGAUGUAAUAGGAAUGCCGUUUAAUGUGGAUGUAAGCUCUUUUCCUUCCAGAAAAAUG
This 539-nucleotide small RNA is filed under the name Pongo abelii (Sumatran orangutan). RNAcentral's name for it is "processed transcript". Lineage: Eukaryota; Metazoa; Chordata; Mammalia; Primates; Hominidae. The record is from RNAcentral.